CAGCAGCCGCCGCGGGAAUACGUAUGUCACAAGCGUUAUCCGGAUUUAUUGGGCGUAAAGCGCGUCUAGGUGGUUAUGUAAGUCUGAUGUGAAAAUGCAGGGCUCAACUCUGUAUUGCGUUGGAAACUGUGUAACUAGAGUACUGGAGAGGUAAGCGGAGCUACAAGUGUGGAGGUGAAAUUCGUAGAUAUUUGUAGGAAUGCCGAUGGGGAAGCCAGCUUACUGGACAGAUACUGACGCUGAAGCGCGAAAGCGUGGGUAGCAAACAGGAUUAGAUACCCGGGUAGUCCCUGUCUCUUAUACA
Molecule: ribosomal RNA, 304 nt
Filed under: uncultured bacterium
Lineage: Bacteria
Description: partial 16S ribosomal RNA
Rfam family: Bacterial small subunit ribosomal RNA
Source: RNAcentral